Gasterosteus aculeatus (three-spined stickleback) is the source of this 2861-nucleotide long non-coding RNA. The record is from Ensembl. Lineage: Eukaryota; Metazoa; Chordata; Actinopteri; Perciformes; Gasterosteidae.
CACUUCUGCAUUCUGCCUUGUUAUGAAGGGAGGACGUGCGUUAAGUGUGAGACGGGAGGACUUCCUGAAAUGUGAUGGAUCCCAAUCAAAGGCCCGCCAAUGCAUCCGUUCAGAGACAAGAUGCCACUGACCUCCCCGGGCCUCUUACUGACGAUCCUUUUGAUCUCUACGAGAGCGCUGGGAAGAUGUCCUCCACUGAAAUCCAACCCAGCCCCCCCAGGCCACCACCAAUCCGUCGCCCUCCUCCUCCGCUCAGAACCAGACUUCCCAGUGAAUGUUUGCCGGGUACCAAAGGCCAAGCACCCGUUCCUUUACCUCGCAAGGGGCGAAUACCCCUCAGCAACAGCAAGAAGCAGCUAUCCUGUGACCUCACUGAUCACGCUCCCAAACUGAACCGUUCCCGUUCGGAAAUACACAAUCAUGUGAGUAUGUGCCGAUGUACUCUGGGACGAUAAAAAGCUCCUUUUUGAUGGAAUCGAAUGACCCGAAGUAACAUCAACGAAGAGUGCAAACCGUCUUCUUGUCUUUUUUUUUUUUUUUUUUUUUUUUACAUCAGGACCCAUGGACGAUCGCACUAAUAGACACUCCAGAAGGCAGCACCAGGAGGCUGACGUCUUUUUGUGCAGCCACUUCCAGGUCAGAGGGUGUAUGAAAAUGAGUUCUGAACAUAUUUGUGACCCUUUCCCUCUGGCAACUUGUUCAACUUUGAUCCGCCGUCUCCGACAGCCUCAUGUCACGACACCGGCACACAGACAUCCUCCAUAACUCGGGUUUGGUAUGGAGUCGUUUGUUACGAAUCAAUCCGGCCCUCCUGCAGCAGGUGGAGGUGAAUGUCAGCGUGGCCACCGAGUGGGACAAUCACCAGCUCCCCUUCCGCACCGCGGGUAAGACCCACCAACGCGGUACCACAAGAUCUCUACAGUUUGUACUGUAGAGAAUGAAGAGAAACGUUACAAACUGUCGUCUUUUCUUUGAUGUGAGCCUCUGUGAGGUCUUUGUCUCCAAUGAAGCAUCUUUAUUUUUAUGUUCAGUGAACAGGACAGUGAAGAGUCUGAUCGAUGAAAUCUUCCAGCUGCUCGACCUCCCCCCCAGCCCAAGCGGAUGUCAUUAUUUGAAACUGUGCAACUCCGAUGAGUAUCUCGAAAAUGAAGAACUGCUGGGCAUGCACGAGAAGGUUCAGAUCUCCUCCAAGCUAAAACUGGUCGUCCCCCUGCGACUGCUCCACGUGGACAACCUCAGACACCGUCUGUGCAGAGAUGUAAGUCGGUUCAAACUCCUUCAUUGUUGCAGCCUGAGGUGUAGAUUAUUUACCCAGAAGGGGGGGGAGGGGCGAUCUGCUCUCGCAAACACCCGUGCCUGGCCCCUCGCCAGCCUGUAGUUAUCAUCAGGGCUAUUGUCCCUAUAAAAAUCUCCACCCUCGGUUCUUGACUUUGUCCUGUUUACACAUCACGUCAUGGCUGGAGGCAUUAACAGCAAGAAUGAAGUAGAAUGAAGGUAAACCUAAUGUAACCGAUAGAUAACUAGUCAUGAUAUAGAACGUUUGCUUUUUUUCUCCAAGGGGGAGGAUGACCGAACACCUUGCCAGCUGUACCAGCUCCUGCGUUCUGCUUGUGUCUUCAACACCUGCAGGUGAGCCUUUCAGUGGGUCACGUGUUGACCCGUGUCUGUUUGUAGACGACAUAAGGACAGGUGGCUUUGUGUCGUGGUCCCCUACCGCGAUGGCAUCUGUGUGUGUGUGUUUAACCUGCCCCCCCUCUCUCAGGUUGAGCCUGCAGAAUGUGCUCUGGAGCUACAACAGGGAGGUGUCAGAGCUAAUGAGGAGUAAGGUGAGUGGACCGAGAGGGUAACCGGUGGGAGGGUUUCCCGCUUUUUUUUGCAUUCUUCACCUCAGGAUAAUAAUCUGAACCGGAAUUUCUUUGUGUUUGCAGUCGGGGAUGAACGUCAAUGUGGUCGUGUCCCGCGUCCGGGUCAUCAGUAAUCUUCUGUGCGGGCUCUCGUGUCAGCAGCUGGAGGACGCUAUCGGCAGUCUCAACAGAAUCAAUCCCAUACCUCUGGUGGAGUGUCAAGCCUUUUUCUUCCCUCUCUAGAACAACACAACCAUUUACGUCUUUAACCUUGUGUAAUAAUCUUUUAGAGAUUUUAGAUUACUUUUCUAACGACACAAAACAACGCUGUGUUUCCUCAUAUUUCGUUACAGAGUCAUGAUGAGAUCUUUCAGUGUGAAACAGGUGAGCAUGAGUGUUAUUUAAAAUGAGUGUUAUUCAACUUCUCAGUGUGGGUGUUUAAGGGGGAAACAUUUUCAUUUCAAAACUAACCUGGAUUACCAAUAGUAUUAAACCGGUAUGAGUGUGAGAUUUUCACCACGUAGUGCCCUCAAACCUGGUAUAAAUAGUGCUGGGAAGCACAAGGUUGGUGGUUUGAUUCCAGGCUGCGCCAUGUUCCAUGUCGAAGUGUCCCUGAGCAAGACACCUAACCCCUAAUUGCUCCCCGGGCAAAAAUGUGAAAAAGCCAUGGGUUUAAAGUAUAAUGUAAGUCGCUUUGGAUACAAGCGUCUGCUAAAUGACAUGUAAUGUAAUGUAAUAAAUGGUUUAUAACACUACAAUUUAGUUGUAAGUCUAUAACCUCUAAGCAUAAUCUGUUGUUUGAAUCAAUUAUGGUUAAAAUGCAGCACAAGGUCAGAAUAAUGAAAAAGUUGAGUUUUUUGACCAGAAAUGUACAAAAAAGAACAAAAUUACAUUUGAUAUCUGCUUUUAAUUCAUAUAUACGCUCUUCAUACAUGUCAUACGCUGUAUGACAUUCAUAUAGCGUAUGAAUGUCAAAGUAAAGUGUUACUUUACUGGUAAUUAACCUUAUGAAUUGAU